UCCAAUGUCUAAUUUAUAAGC
Molecule: non-coding RNA, 21 nt
Filed under: Rattus norvegicus (Norway rat)
Lineage: Eukaryota; Metazoa; Chordata; Mammalia; Rodentia; Muridae
Source: RNAcentral